Molecule: non-coding RNA, 206 nt
Organism: Oryza barthii
Lineage: Eukaryota; Viridiplantae; Streptophyta; Magnoliopsida; Poales; Poaceae
Source: Rfam
AAAAAACUUAAACAUGGAUUUUCAUGUCUAACAUUUAACCGUUCGUCUUAUUUAAAAAAAUUAUAAAAAAAAUUAAAAACACAAGCCACGCAUAAAGUAUUAAUCAUGUUUUAUCAUCUAACAACAAUAAAAAUACUAAUUAUAAAAAAAAUUAUAUGAGACGAACAGUCAAAUGUUAGGCAUGGAAACCCAAGGUUUAUCUACUC